GAUGAACGCUGGCGGCGUGCUUAACACAUGCAAGUCGAACGAGGCACUCUAUUUGAUUUCCUUCGGGACUGAUUAUUUUGUGACUGCGUGGCUGAGGGGUGAGUAAAGCGUGCGUAACCUGCCUUGUACAGGGGGAUUGCAGUUGGACACGGCUGCUAAUACCGCAUAAUCGCCCGGCAUCGCAUGAUGCAGUGUGAAAAACUAAGGUGGAAUAAGAUGGACCCGCGUUGGAUUAGCUAGUUGGUGAGGUAACGGCCCACCAAGGCGACGAUCCAUAGCCGAUCUGAGAGGGUGACCGGCCACAUUGGGACUGAGACACGGCCCAAACUCCUACGGGAGGCAGCAGUGGGGAAUAUUGCACAAUGGGCGAAAGCCUGAUGCAGCGACGCCGCGUGAGCGAAGAAGGAUUUCGGUAUGUAAAGCUCUAUUAGCAGGGAAGAUAAUGACGGUACCUGACUAAGAAGCUCCGGCUAAAUACGUG
Molecule: ribosomal RNA, 481 nt
Filed under: uncultured bacterium
Lineage: Bacteria
Description: partial 16S ribosomal RNA
Rfam family: Bacterial small subunit ribosomal RNA
Source: RNAcentral